UAGAAAUUAAAUGGGCAUGACCCAAUAGAAAAUAAGUGGGCAUGGCCCAAUAGGAAAUAAAAAUAAAUGGGCUUAGCCCAAAUAGGAAAAAUGGAGAAGCCCAUGGAGAAGGCCCAAAGGUCAUAAAGAAAUGAAAAAGGCCCAAUGGUAAGUUAAUGUUAUAUUUUAAGGUUUAUGGGUAGUUUAAUAUUGUGCAUAUUUUGGAUGAAAAAUAUGCAAGUUGCUUAAGGAAUUUUUAAUUAAGUUGUUACUCAUACAAAUGUGUGAUUAAGUAUACUAAGUUUAAAUUGUUGCUAGGAAAGUUUGUCGUGGAAGCGUGCCGAACGAAGUAUGUGACCGACAAAUAGGAAUAAUUAUAUACGCGUACGAAUCAAUAGUGAAGUAAUAUUCCACUAUUAUGAGGUGAGUAGGGGGUG
This 416-nucleotide long non-coding RNA is filed under the name Theobroma cacao (cacao). RNAcentral describes it as "long non-coding RNA (TCAC_LNC000332)". The record is from RNAcentral. Lineage: Eukaryota; Viridiplantae; Streptophyta; Magnoliopsida; Malvales; Malvaceae.